CUGAGUACUACACUCUCUACCCUUUGUGAACUAUUAUACCUGUUGCUUCGGCGGCGCCCGCAAGGGUGCCCGCCGGUCUCAUCAGAAUCUCUGUUUUCGGACCCGACGAUACUUCUGAGUGUUCUUAGCGAACUGUCA
This 138-nucleotide unclassified non-coding RNA is filed under the name soil metagenome. Its description in RNAcentral is "partial internal transcribed spacer 1". The record is from RNAcentral.